AAUCCUAGUGGCGAACGGGUGAGUAACGCGUUGGUGACCUGCCCCAAAGUGUGGGAUAACAGUCCGAAAGGAUUGCUAAUACCGCAUGUGGUCAUUGGAUUUAGAAACCGAUGACUAAAGGAGUAAUCCGCUUUGGGAGGGACCUGCGUCCCAUCAGCUAGUCGGUGAGGUAAUGGCUCACCAAGGCUACGACGGGUAGGGGACCUGAGAGGGUGGCCCCCCACAAUGGAACUGAAACACGGUCCAU
RNAcentral lists this ribosomal RNA (247 nucleotides) under uncultured bacterium. RNAcentral describes it as "partial 16S ribosomal RNA". It matches the Rfam family "Bacterial small subunit ribosomal RNA", at positions 88 to 334 of the family's 1533-position model. The record is from RNAcentral.